GAUGAACGCUGGCGGCGUGCCUAAUACAUGCAAGUCGAGCGAACAGACGAGGAGCUUGCUCCUUCGACGUUAGCGGCGGACGGGUGAGUAACACGUAGGUAACCUACCUAUAAGACUGGGAUAACUUCGGGAAACCGGAGCUAAUACCGGAUAAUAUUUCGAACCGCAUGGUUCGAUAGUGAAAGAUGGCUUUGCUAUCACUUAUAGAUGGACCUGCGCCGUAUUAGCUAGUUGGUAAGGUAACGGCUUACCAAGGCAACGAUACGUAGCCGACCUGAGAGGGUGAUCGGCCACACUGGAACUGAGACACGGUCCAGACUCCUACGGGAGGCAGCAGUAGGGAAUCUUCCGCAAAGGGCGAAAGCCUGACGGAGCAACGCCGCGUGAGUGAUGAAGGUCUUCGGAUCGUAAAACUCCGUUAUUAGGGAAGAACAAACGUGUAAGUAACUGUGCACGUCUUGACGGUACCUAAUCAGAAAGCCACGGCUAACUACGUG
Molecule: ribosomal RNA, 497 nt
Filed under: uncultured bacterium
Lineage: Bacteria
Description: partial 16S ribosomal RNA
Rfam family: Bacterial small subunit ribosomal RNA
Source: RNAcentral